RNAcentral lists this ribosomal RNA (279 nucleotides) under uncultured bacterium. Its description in RNAcentral is "partial 16S ribosomal RNA". It matches the Rfam family "Bacterial small subunit ribosomal RNA", at positions 506 to 784 of the family's 1533-position model. The record is from RNAcentral.
UGCCAGCCGCCGCGGUAACACGGGGGGCGCAAGCGUUAUUCGGAAUUAUUGGGCGUAAAGGGCGCGCAGGCGGUCUGCUAAGUCGGACGUGAAAGCCCCGGGCUUAACCUGGGAAUUGCAUUCGAUACUGGUAGACUUGAAUUUGGUAGAGGAAAGUGGAAUUCCGGGUGUAGCGGUGAAAUGCGUAGAUAUCCGGAGGAACAUCAGUGGCGAAGGCGGCUAACUGGCUCGGUACUGACGCUGAGAUGCGAAAGCGUGGGGAGCAAACAGGAUUAGAUA